This 471-nucleotide ribosomal RNA is filed under the name uncultured Diversispora. RNAcentral describes it as "SSU rRNA". It matches the Rfam family "Eukaryotic small subunit ribosomal RNA", at positions 569 to 1041 of the family's 1831-position model. The record is from RNAcentral. Lineage: Eukaryota; Fungi; Glomeromycota; Glomeromycetes; Diversisporales; Diversisporaceae.
AGCAGCCGCGGUAAUUCCAGCUCCAAUAGCGUAUAUUAAAGUUGUUGCAGUUAAAAAGCUCGUAGUUGAACUUCGGGGUUUACUAAUUGGUCAGGCUUAAUUGUCUGUACUGGUGAGAUGAAUCUCUACCUUCUGAGGAGCUUUUCAUGCCAUUUAUUUGGUGUGGUUGGAAAUCAGGACUGUUACUUUGAAAAAUUAGAGUGUUUAAAGCAGGCUAACGUCUGAAUACAUUAGCAUGGAAUAAUGAAAUAGGACGGAUUGAUUCUAUUUCGUUGGUUUCUAGGGUCACCGUAAUGAUUAAUAGGGAUAGUUGGGGGCAUUAGUAUUCAAUUGUCAGAGGUGAAAUUCUUGGAUUUAUUGAAGACUAACUACUGCGAAAGCAUUUGCCAAGGAUGUUUUCAUUAAUCAAAGAACGAAAGUUAGGGGAUCGAAGACGAUCAGAUACCGUCGUAGUCUUAACCAUAAACUAUG